CAGCAGUAGCCGCGGGAAUACGGAGGGUGCAAGCGUUAUCCGGAUUUAUUGGGUUUAAAGGGUCCGUAGGCGGAUCUGUAAGUCAGUGGUGAAAUCUCACAGCUUAACUGUGAAACUGCCAUUGAUACUGCAGGUCUUGAGUAAAUUUGAAGUGGCUGGAAUAAGUAGUGUAGCGGUGAAAUGCAUAGAUAUUACUUAGAACACCAAUUGCGAAGGCAGGUCACUAAGAUUUAACUGACGCUGAUGGACGAAAGCGUGGGGAGCGAACAGGAUUAGAUACCCCAGUAGUCCCUGUCUCUUAUAA
Molecule: ribosomal RNA, 304 nt
Filed under: uncultured bacterium
Lineage: Bacteria
Description: partial 16S ribosomal RNA
Rfam family: Bacterial small subunit ribosomal RNA
Source: RNAcentral